UCCGGUGGUCAUAGCGGAGGGGCAACACCUCUUCCCAUUCCGAACAGAGAAGUUAAGCCCUCCAGCGCCGAUGGUACUGCCCCGGAGACGGGGUGGGAGAGUAGGUCGCUGCCGGAA
This 117-nucleotide ribosomal RNA is filed under the name Bacteroidota bacterium. Lineage: Bacteria; Pseudomonadati; Bacteroidota. The record is from RNAcentral.